Molecule: ribosomal RNA, 253 nt
Filed under: uncultured bacterium
Lineage: Bacteria
Description: partial 16S ribosomal RNA
Rfam family: Bacterial small subunit ribosomal RNA
Source: RNAcentral
UACGGGGGGGGCAAGCGUUGUUCGGAAUUACUGGGCGUAAAGGGCUCGUAGGUGGCCAACUAAGUCAGACGUGAAAUCCCCAGGCUUAACCUGGGAACUGCGUCUGAUACUGGAUGGCUUGAAUUCGGGAGAGGGAUGCAGAAUUCCUGGUGUAGCGGUGGAAUGCGCAGAUAUCAGGAGGAAUACCCAUAGCGAAGGCAGCUCGCUGGGACGUUACUGACGCUGAGGCGCGAAAGCGUGGGGAGCGAACAGG